This 438-nucleotide ribosomal RNA is filed under the name uncultured bacterium. Its description in RNAcentral is "partial 16S ribosomal RNA". It matches the Rfam family "Bacterial small subunit ribosomal RNA", at positions 338 to 795 of the family's 1533-position model. The record is from RNAcentral.
CCUACGGGUGGCAGCAGUGGGGGAUAUUGCACAAUGGGGGAAACCCUGAUGCAGCGACGCCGCGUGGGUGAAGAAGCGCCUCGGCGCGUAAAGCCCUUUCAGCAGGGAAGAAAAUGACGGUACCUGAAGAAGAAGCCCCGGCAAACUACGUGCCAGCAGCCGCGGUAAUACGUCGGGGGCAGGCGUUAGCCGGAUUUACUGGGUGUAAAGGGGGCGCAGACGGCGAUGCAAGGCAGGAGGGAAAGCCGGGGGCCCAACCCCGGGAGUGCUCUUGGAACUGAGUGGAUAGAGUGCAGGAGGGGCAGGCGGAAUUUGGGGUGUAGGGGUGAAAUGCGUAGAUAUCAGGAGGAACACCGGUGGCGAAGGCGGCCUGCUGGACUGAAACUGACGUUGAGGCCCGAAAGCGUGGGGAGCAAACAGGAUUAGAUACCAGUAGUC